GACCCACCUCCUCUGCUCCAGUUCCUCCGCGCACCACCCUCCUCUGCCCCAGUUCCGCCGUGCACCACCCUCAUCGGCUCCAGUUCCGCGCCGGUCCGGACCACCUCUUCUCCAGUUCUACCGCGUCCAGUCUUCCGUCGUGCUCCCUCACCUCUGCUCUAGAAGUGACAGGAACUCUAAAGGGUUAUGAUCAGUUGCUUAACCUUGUCCUAGAUGAAGCUGUAGAGUUUCUAAGAGUUUGGUAGCAGCAAAGAAUAUGUGCAUCUGGUGAACUUUGUUGCCCUUAUUUUGAAUGAAGUAGUUAAGAGUAUGAUUUAUCAUUUGUCUUGUUGUCAAAAAGUUUCUUCAUUAAAUUUAUUAUUUCACCACACUAAGCUAGAUCAAUUUUCUUGUGUCACAAAUUUUAAGGAUUAAGAAAAGGGAUGUUUACUGAUUCAUGAGAGUGAGGGCUGAAUGAGUAACGAGCUAUUAACUGGCAUGCUUUAGCUUCAAUUAUGCUGAAGCUAUGAUCAAACUCUAUGAUGUAAAUAUCUCAAGACGGCCACUUUACCUGAGUGAGAGGUCCAUUUAAAAUAACCCUAACUAUGUGCAGAAUUAGCACAGAAUUUUUUGGUGCUGAAAGCUGAAUAAUAUAAACAUUUGGUUUAAAAAUAUUUGACAUUGUUCUCACUUUAAGUGGGGAUUACUUAUUUUCAUUGAAUCUGUCUUUUUACAUAUGCUUUCUUUCAGAUUUAUCAAGUCAAACAGCAAAAUUAAGAUUUCCAUACAAAUAUUGAGUUCACUGUAAUUAUGUUUAGUAUGCUUAUUUAUAUUUUA
Molecule: non-coding RNA, 816 nt
Organism: Arachis ipaensis
Lineage: Eukaryota; Viridiplantae; Streptophyta; Magnoliopsida; Fabales; Fabaceae
Source: RefSeq, a predicted model, not a curated record